Molecule: ribosomal RNA, 281 nt
Filed under: uncultured bacterium
Lineage: Bacteria
Description: partial 16S ribosomal RNA
Rfam family: Bacterial small subunit ribosomal RNA
Source: RNAcentral
CAAUACUCCCGCCGGCGACCGGCGCACGGGUGAGUAACACGUAUGAAACCUGCCCGUAGCAGGGGGAUAAGCGGAAGAAAUUCCGUCUAAUACCGCGUAACAACCCGGGGAGGCAUCUCCUCGGGUUUAAAGGAAGCGAUUCCGGCUACGGAUGGUCAUGCGUCGCAUUAGCUAGUUGGCGGGGUAACGGCCCACCAAGGCGACGAUGCGUAGGGGUUCUGAGAGGAAGGUCCCCCACACUGGUACUGAGACACGGACCAGACUCCUACGGGAGGCAGCAG